ACGGAGGAUGCAAGCGUUAUCCGGAUUUAUUGGGUUUAAAGGGUCCGCAGGCGGACUUGUAAGUCAGGGGUGAAAUCCGGCAGCUUAACUGUCGAACUGCCUUUGAUACUGCAAGUCUUGAGUGAAAAUGAAGCAGCUGGAAUGUGUGGUGUAGCGGUGAAAUGCGUAGAUAUCGGGAGGAACACCGGUAGCGAAGGCGGGUUGCUAGUUCUCAACUGACGCUGAGGGGCGAAAGCGUGGGGAGCAAACAG
This 251-nucleotide ribosomal RNA is filed under the name uncultured prokaryote. RNAcentral's name for it is "partial 16S rRNA". It matches the Rfam family "Bacterial small subunit ribosomal RNA", at positions 525 to 775 of the family's 1533-position model. The record is from RNAcentral.